AAAUUGAAGAGUUUGAUCAUGGCUCAGAUUGAACGCUGGCGGCAGGCCUAACACAUGCAAGUCGAACGGUAACAGGAAGCAGCUUGCUGCUUCGCUGACGAGUGGCGGACGGGUGAGUAAUGUCUGGGAAACUGCCUGAUGGAGGGGGAUAACUACUGGAAACGGUGGCUAAUACCGCAUAACGUCGCAAGACCAAAGAGGGGGACCUUCGGGCCUCUUGCCAUCAGAUGUGCCCAGAUGGGAUUAGCUAGUUGGUGAGGUAACGGCUCACCAAGGCGACGAUCCCUAGCUGGUCUGAGAGGAUGACCAGCCACACUGGAACUGAGACACGGUCCAGACUCCUACGGGAGGCAGCAGUGGGGAAUAUUGCACAAUGGGCGCAAGCCUGAUGCAGCCAUGCCGCGUGUAUGAAGAAGGCCUUCGGGUUGUAAAGUACUUUCAGCGGGGAGGAAGGUGUUGUGGUUAAUAACCGCAGCAAUUGACGUUACCCGCAGAAGAAGCACCGGCUAACUCCGUGCCAGCAGCCGCGGUAAUACGGAGGGUGCAAGCGUUAAUCGGAAUUACUGGGCGUAAAGCGCACGCAGGCGGUCUGUCAAGUCGGAUGUGAAAUCCCCGGGCUCAACCUGGGAACUGCAUUCGAAACUGGCAGGCUUGAGUCUUGUAGAGGGGGGUAGAAUUCCAGGUGUAGCGGUGAAAUGCGUAGAGAUCUGGAGGAAUACCGGUGGCGAAGGCGGCCCCCGACAAAGACUGACGCUCAGGUGCGAAAGCGUGGGGAGCAAACAGGAUUAGAUACCCUGGUAGUCCACGCCGUAAACGAUGUCUACUUGGAGGUUGUGCCCUUGAGGCGUGGCUUCCGGAGCUAACGCGUUAAGUAGACCGCCCGGGAGUACGGCCGCAAGGUUAAAACUCAAAUGAAUUGACGGGGGCCCGCACAAGCGGUGGAGCAUGUGGUUUAAUUCGAUGCAACGCGAAGAACCUUACCUGGUCUUGACAUCCACAGAACUUUCCAGAGAUGGAUUGGUGCCUUCGGGAACUGUGAGACAGGUGCUGCAUGGCUGUCGUCAGCUCGUGUUGUGAAAUGUUGGGUUAAGUCCCGCAACGAGCGCAACCCUUAUCCUUUGUUGCCAGCGAUUAGGUCGGGAACUCAAAGGAGACUGCCAGUGAUAAACUGGAGGAAGGUGGGGAUGACGUCAAGUCAUCAUGGCCCUUACGACCAGGGCUACACACGUGCUACAAUGGCGCAUACAAAGAGAAGCGACCUCGCGAGAGCAAGCGGACCUCAUAAAGUGCGUCGUAGUCCGGAUUGGAGUCUGCAACUCGACUCCAUGAAGUCGGAAUCGCUAGUAAUCGUGGAUCAGAAUGCCACGGUGAAUACGUUCCCGGGCCUUGUACACACCGCCCGUCACACCAUGGGAGUGGGUUGCAAAAGAAGUAGGUAGCUUAACCUUCGGGAGGGCGCUUACCACUUUGUGAUUCAUGACUGGGGUGAAGUCGUAACAAGGUAACCGUAGGGGAACCUGCGGUUGGAUCACCUCCUUACCUUAAAGAAGC
This 1551-nucleotide ribosomal RNA is filed under the name Salmonella enterica subsp. enterica serovar Typhimurium. RNAcentral's name for it is "bacterial SSU rRNA". It matches the Rfam family "Bacterial small subunit ribosomal RNA". The record is from RNAcentral. Lineage: Bacteria; Pseudomonadati; Pseudomonadota; Gammaproteobacteria; Enterobacterales; Enterobacteriaceae.